CCUACGGGGGGCAGCAGUGAGGAAUAUUGGGCAAUGGAGGCAACUCUGACCCAGCAACGCCGCGUGAAUGAUGAAGGUCUUCGGAUUGUAAAGUUCUGUGAUGGGGGAUGAACACAAUGACGGUACCCCAAUAGCAAGCCACGGCUAACUACGUGCCAGCAGCCGCGGUAAUACGUAGGUGGCAAGCGUUAUCCGGAAUGACUGGGCGGAAAGGGUGCGUAGGUGGUUUAGUAAGUUGGCGGUGUAAUUCCGGGGCUCAACCUCGGCGCUACCGCCAAAACUAUUGAACUUGAGUGCAGGAGGGGUGAAUGGAAUGCCCAGUGUAGCGGUGGAAUGCGUAGAUAUUGGGAAGAACACCAGCGGCGAAGGCGAUUCACUGGACUGUAACUGACACUGAGGCACGAAAGCGUGGGGAGCAAACAGGAUUAGAUACCCCAGUAGUC
RNAcentral lists this ribosomal RNA (443 nucleotides) under uncultured bacterium. RNAcentral's name for it is "partial 16S ribosomal RNA". It matches the Rfam family "Bacterial small subunit ribosomal RNA", at positions 338 to 795 of the family's 1533-position model. The record is from RNAcentral.